This 240-nucleotide unclassified non-coding RNA is filed under the name Hevea brasiliensis (rubber tree). The record is from RNAcentral. Lineage: Eukaryota; Viridiplantae; Streptophyta; Magnoliopsida; Malpighiales; Euphorbiaceae.
GUUCGAUCCUCGUGUAGAAAAGGGAAUUCAAUCUUUCAACGAUGUUCCACGAGAUAGAGGCUCCACUGCCGUUUUGAAGAGAAGGAUGUAAACUUUAUCUAUUGAAAAAUACAAGAACCCACCCAGAGAAUGUGUUACAUAGGACCCAAAGCUAGUUCCCACGAUGCAGUGCCAAGCCGGACCAUAGGAGGAAUCAAAUUCCUUUUUAAGGGCAAGAGCAAGGCGUUUGCUAUCGAGCUU